CCCUGGCCCCUGAGCCCUGCCCCUCUUGCGCGGUGGCCAGGUAGGUUGCCCGAGGCAGAUGCACGAUUCCAAGUCACUUUGGCAGUUUUUAAUGUGGAGAAGGCUCUUUCUGCAGAGGGAACGUUGCGGAGCUGCUGGGAGUGUCUCAUAGGCUGUGGCGACCUGGGAAGCUGCUCUGCGGAGCCACCGGAGGCGCAGAUUUCAGCACAUCGAGAGCAGAUGAGCGGCUAGUCCCAAAACUGUCCGCGCUUCAGACAGAUGACUUUCGCAGAAGUUUGAGUGUGCUUGUAGAUGCAAAUCUAUCGUGAUUAUGUUUCCUCGGACGUUUCCUGUGCUUGUGGAGCUCAUAGGAGAGACUGAAGGUGAAUUCACGAUUGCACACAACUUACAACAUCUGUUUGUGGAUUCCAUCAGUGUAUCUUCAACUGUAAGAAAAAUUAAUUUCAAAACUUCUGCAUUAAUACCUGGAUACUCCAACAUCUUAUAGGAAAAUUGUGCUUGUUUCUGUCCAAUGCAGUGGCCCUUGCUUCAGGGUUUGUGGAUUUUGCUGAGAAUUUCGAGAUUGUCAGAAAGAGAUUCUAAGCUGGAGUAAUUCUAACAGCUUCCUGGUUAUGUUACUGGGAUAAGGCUGUGUCUGCUCCUCCCAUGCUCAGUUACUGAUACAGUUACUGCCUGAGCACCGGGACCUCCACUCCUGGAAGGAUCUGUGCAGAGGCUGCAGGCACUGGUGGCAAAACAGACACACCUCCGGCACCCAGGGGCCUCGUGCUGCCACCGGAGGAGGAUCCCCUCUCCUUCCUGGGGCUCCAACCCCUGCUGCUGCUUCUGCUGCCAUGUGACACCCAGGCA
Molecule: long non-coding RNA, 849 nt
Filed under: Homo sapiens (human)
Lineage: Eukaryota; Metazoa; Chordata; Mammalia; Primates; Hominidae
Description: HSALNT0309806
Source: RNAcentral